RNAcentral lists this long non-coding RNA (5513 nucleotides) under Heterocephalus glaber (naked mole-rat). Its description in RNAcentral is "lncRNA (ENSHGLG00000033424.1)". Lineage: Eukaryota; Metazoa; Chordata; Mammalia; Rodentia; Bathyergidae. The record is from RNAcentral.
AAAAAAAAUUCUCUGUGGCCUCUCUAGCUUACAGCAUGAAGUCCUUUCUCCUUAGCAGGGCAUUCAGAGUACUCUGUGGUCACCCUACAGUCUUGACUUUCUGUCUUUAUUUCCCUCUAUUUGCCUUUGUAGCCAAACCCACUGCCAUCCCGCAGCAGGCUCCCUCACCCUGGCUGCUGCUGGGCAUCACAUGGGCUGGCUUCGCUCUUGCCUCUACCUGUUUGCUCUCUGCAGGUCAGGUCUUGUAUGCCCUUCAAAGCUUUGCUCAAAUGUCGCUGCUUCCAUGAAGCCUUUCUUUUGUAUCACUUAAAAUAAUCCCUCUGUCUCUGAAUUUCUGGGGUACCCAUCCCUCACCCCACUGCUCUUUGAUUCCUAAUACAUUGUUGUUUUAUGUGCAGCCCUUCUCCUCCCCAUUGAUCCUGCUCAUGUUGGUGUUCCUGCUCUUGCCAUCACCUGUGCUUUGCAGGCAGAGGACCUUACCUAUCUCUGUGAGGUGCCUUUUACUCAUUGGUAGUCCCAGUGAUUGCCCUGGGCUUCCUGAGUUGGUCUUUCAGAUCUGCCUUGUAAGCGCCAGCCCUUUUCUAUUGCUACUUUUAUAUCUCAUUUGGUGUGUUUUUCUGAUGUCUACGUAGAUGACAGACACAUACUGCUAGGUAUAUGUGAUUGUCUCAAUGUUCUAUUUUAUUUCAGACUCUAAGUAGAGUCCCUAGAACAGCUGAGAGUGUAAACAGUAUAUCAUUAAAAUCUUUGCAGAUAUCCAAAUCCUACCUUACUAUAGCUUAAGGAAGGCUGUCAGAAUGCUGGGGGAAAGCUGAAGUAGUAAGAUGUGUCUCUGGCCACGUGAUGCUGUGGUGCUGAGAUGAUGUUGAUGAUGUGGUUUUAUGAUGUCCUAGCUGUCAGGCACACCAGAUACUCCAGGUAUGCUACUUGUGUGAGUCCUUUUCAUGAUUUUCUAGAGAAGGUCACUACUUCCAGUCAGUUUGAUUUGGGAAUAUUGGUAGAGUGGCCUCUUGAUUAUGUAUACAAACCACCCCAAUAUUUAAUGUCUCGUGUUUUUGAGAUGAGCAUUCUCGUGUGUUCCCUCGGCCAGUUUGUCUGUUCUUGUGGCUUCAACCUCCACCUGUAUCCAUAAACUUCUAGGCUUAUUCCUUAAGCCUUUGCUCUCUUCUUGAACUCUCCAUAUACAGAUCUGACUGUUGGCAUAGCCAGUGGGAUUCUUCAGGUUUGCCAUUUCCACAAGGGAACUCUAUUUUUGGCCCCCAAUGCAAGGAUUAUAUAAUUUUCCUUUUUGUUCCCAGUUCCUGUACAGUAUAUAGUACACAUGGAAAUGUCAAGGCCUACCAAUAGAGAGGGAUGGGUAAAUUGUGAUACCCACAUGAUGGAAUACUGAAACGACAAACCAGAUUUAUAUGUAUGUAAAAGGAUAAAAUCAAUGUUAUUUAUCUAGACAGAAUCAGGAAAGACAAGGACUGCUGAUGCUAUUCAAUACAUUCUGGAGCUGCUUGGGAAUUUCAUGGUUCUGAAGUGGGAGGUAGGUGAAAAUGGAGUGAAAGUCUUGGCUUCGAGUUGAAAGACCCAGGUUUCAGACUCAUAGGAAGAGUGGGAAGUUCACUUAAACUUGCUGAGUCUUGAUACUCCAGCCUCUUUGGUUUUCUAGAAAUGGAAGAAUAAUUGCCUUAUUUAUUUUUUAGAGGAUUUGUGAGGUCAAACGGGAUGUUUGUAAGUUUUUCAAACUAUAAUUCUGUUACUACCAUCAGAGCAAGCGUUGAAAUUCUUUGGCCAUAUAGAUUUGGUUCAAAAGUUCCCAGAAGGCAGGAACACUUUAGAAGCUUCCAGUAAGUAAAAGAGUUGCUGUGAGUGAUGAGUGUACUGGUGCUGAGUAUUUAAGCCCAACUGUAAAACCAUCUUUGUGCCAAAGACCCAGAAGAAGAGAUUUGAGAGAUUUGAAAAAUUGAAUAUAUGCUUUCUUCCUGAGAUAUUCUCUCUCUCUCUCUCUCUCUCUCUCUCUCUCUCUCUCUCUCUCUCUCUGAUUCUGUAUUUAGAUUCCUGUGAACACAUUUUUGUCUCCACCAAUCUAUUGUGAGAUGUAGAAGGUAAAAAGGCUCUAGGGAGCACAAUAAAAAUAGAUAAUGCAGAGCUUUUAAAAAACUGAGUAUAUCCCAGGAGAGAGCUGAGAGGACAAAUGUUCUGCAUCAAAAUAGACAAUAGAUUUAUCCUGGGCAAAGUGCUAUGAGAAACACCUUUCUCAUGUUACAGAUGGAAAAUUGAAGCUCAAAUUUUGACAGUAUGUGCUACUAAGUAACUAGUAGGUGCCAGGUAUUCUUCUAAAAACUUUUAUGGUAUCAUAGAAUUCUCCCAUCUACCUUUUGGAGGAGACUUUAUGAUAAACUAAGGAAUGGGUUAUUAUGUAACUCCCUCAGUUGCACAGGUACUUGUGGCAGACACCCCAGCUCUGGAGUUUUACUGUGAAACUGCUGUGAUACUUGUUCAGGGAACUGACCAAGUUAUAUUCUGUAAUUUGCUUUUAAUUGUAGCUCUUUCUUGAGGUGGAUUGGAGUGUAUAACAUGAGUGAGUUUGAAAUCCCUGACUGUCCUGGGUACCAGGGUAGUGAUUUCUACUUGCACGUGUUUCUCCCCGAGGUGUAUGUGGCCUUGGGGACCAACCUUGUAAUUAAGCUCAUACAUUUGUAGAAUGAUUGACCAGGUAUAGGGAAAUUCUUUGAAGCUGUGAAUUAAGGUAAAUUUAACUGUCUUUGAAUAAAGGUAGUAUUCUGUCUUGCCUUUGUCUGCUCAAGGCUCUAAUGUCCACAGGUCACAUGCAACUCAGGGAUGAGUACAUACAGCAUUUGGUCUUUGUCCCCAGUUCCUGACACAUAGCUGCCUGGGAAUCUGAAGGAGUAGAAAUGUCCUUUUGUGUGCUAAUUUGGUGACUAGGGGCCCCUAGAUAGCUUCAGGAUGGAAGCUAGAUGCCAAAAAGAUCAACGUAUGAUUAGGGGGUUGAAACUUUCAAUCCUACCCUUUGACCUCCAGGAAGAGGAAAGGACCUAGAGUUAAUUACCAUUCGUCAGUGAUUCAGUUAAUCAUGUUGAUGUCAUGAAACUUCUAUAAAAUCCUAAAAGAUGAAGUCUGAAGAAGUUAGUGAAUGCAUGGAGGUGUUGGAAGGGUGGCACCCCAAGAGAAGGCAUGGAGACUGUGUGCCUUCCUCAUGGCUUGUUCUACACACAUUUCCUAUUUGGCUGUGCCUGAGUUGUGUCCUUUAUGAUAAAUGAGUAAGUAAAGCACUUUUUAAAGUUCUAUGAGAUAUUCUAGCAAAAUAUUAUACAUGAAGGGUGUUGUAGUCAGGGUCUGCAAGGGAAUAGAUUUAAUACAGGAUACAUAAUUUGUAGGAUUAUUUUAUAAUAUUCACCCAGAAAGUCAAACGCAGAGGAGUGCAAGAGAUCUAACUGCACACUAGAGUCCCAAAGAAUCCAGGUAAGGGGCUGGAUCCCACAGGAAUGUCCCACACAAGUCCAACUAAAGACUUAAAGCCCAAGGCAAUGUCCUCCACCAGUUCAGCCAGUGGCCUAGAGCCCACGGCAAUGUCUCAUACUUGUCCAUAUUGAGGAUCUGCACCAGGAAGGCCCAAUGACCAGUGGUGGAAGCCAGAAAACCUGUGCUGGCAUAGGGAGGGAUUUGUGCCACCAGGCUGAGGGAUCCACAUUGGAGCCAGGAAGUGAUGCUCAUGCUGAAGAUCAGAGCUCCCCUGAUGAGAACAGCAGCCUUUCCCAGUGACAGCAAGGCCCUGAGCUCCGAUGAUGAGAACAGCCAAGUUCUAAUCAGGAAAACCAACUACAGCAAGCGUCUCCUAGAAAAUCAACAGCCCACGGUCUUCCCCUCCAGGUCUCUCUUGAUGCUGUUGGCAACAAUCCUCAGGGGGGUCUUCCAUGCCCAUACCACGUUGAUUCAGUUCAAGCUGGUUGUUCCAAGUUGACCAUUAGUUAAUCCACAAGGAGGUCAUGGGAACCUUGAUUUAUAAUUGGUUGGUCAAAAAUACAGGUGGAAACCUAGGACCUGCACCUGGCAACUCAUGUGGGCCAAUUUUGUGGGACAGCCCUCACCUGUGAAAUCUGUAUAACUGACAAGUAAUUAGUGUCAGAUUCACAGUGAUUGUAGGGCACCCAGUUGAUGUCUGGAGAGUUGGUUAGGUGAGGCAAAACCCCACACACAUUAGGUGACUGGAGUGCUGUGAAUAAAAACAGUUCAUUGCCUAAAAUGAGUUCCUUCUUCCUUAAAUUUGUAAGUCUUUUCUGUUGUAUUGAUAACUUUGAAUUUUUAUUCAGAAUAAAAUGAACCUCAGUGACUAAUGGUCUCAUUUCUUAAAAGGGACAAAUAUUGGAAAGAAGUAUUCAUGAGUAUCCUACUUACUUUUCUCUUCGCUGAGACAAAAUACCCAACACUUUCAGUGUAAUGGAGGAGAGGUUUAUUUUGGCUCAUGUUUCAGUCUAUGGUCAGCUAGUUUCAAAGAAGCAGCAGCAUGGCAAAAGGGCAUGCACGACAGAGGAAACAGCUGCUUGCCUCAUGGAAGCGGAGUGUGAAGUGAGGAGCUAGGAAGGGAGAAUGCACCCCCAUGACCUGGCUCUUCCAACUAGACCCUACCUUAUAACAGCAGGUCAGCUCCAUAAUCCAAUCACCUACCAAAAGCCUUGCUUUUGAGCUCCUGAGGCUUUGGGAGGACAUCUAGGUAUAAACCAUAACAAUUAGAAAAAUUCUGAUCCUAGUCCUCCAGUUAACAUUAGGCCAAACUUUGCCUUGAGAGAUGGAAAGGAUUGGGGCUCACAGUAACAUUCUAUGUAAUACUACCAUGUUUUAUCUCCCAUGCUUUUGCUUUAGGCAGAGGAAAUAUGAGGCUCUGGAUCUGAGUUGAAGUUUUAAACAAUGAAUUGGUUUGAAUAUGCAUAGGUAGCCCCCAAUAAUAUGGAUAGAUUGCUACAAAUUUUCUCUGAUCAUGUGUCCAGCAUGCUAAGAAGCAUUUUUCUCACUAAAAAUAAUCUUUGUAUAGGUAGCUGUGUUUCCAUGCUGGUAAUACACUUGACUUUACAUUUACAAUGUGAGACCUAGGCCAAGGUCCGGAAAUCCAUUAACCACACUUUAAGGACCACUGUGAUAUCUGGCAACUUGUCUACCCCCUGUUGUAUUUCACCCUCUUUCCCAUCUCCCUUCAGCCCUUGGUACCUUUAUGAGCACUGAGACCCAUUACCCUUUUGGUUGCCUUAAUCCACUAUAAAAAGACGCUUCUGGAAUUUGAGGUGCCAGUCCUUACUGUUUUUUUCUGUGAAUGGCACUGACUUGUUAUGUGGGUGUACACAUACCAGGUUCUUCUUAGAGGUGUGUUUGCCUUUUUAAAGAAAAGGAUAUGGUUAAGCCAAAUGCAUCACUUUUAUGAUAAAAUUUCAAGUUCUAUAACCAAGCAUUUGAGAAAUGUGAAGAAUUCAGAUUUUAAAAUGCCCCCGAGCUAGCCUCAAACUCUUCUCCCC